AGCGAACGUUUGCGGCGGGCUUAACACAUGCAAGUCGAACGGGCUGUUCCUUCGGGGGCAGUCAGUGGCGCACGGGUGCGUAACACGUAGGUAAUCAACCCUCUGGUUGGGGAUAACACUUCGAAAGGAGUGCUAAUACCCGGUAUGGCGCAGCGGUCUUCGGAUCGCGGCGAGAAAGACCCGCAAGGGUUGCCAGAGGACGAGCCUGCGGCCCAUCAGCUAGUUGGCGAGGUAACGGCUCACCAAGGCGAAGACGGGUAGCUGGUCUGAGAGGAUGAUCAGCCACACUGGAACUGAGACACGGUCCAGACUCCUACGGAGGCAGCAGUGGGGAAUAUUGCGCAAUGGGCGAAAGCCUGACGCAGCCACGCCGCGUGAGCGAUGAAGGCCUUCGGGUCGUAA
This 402-nucleotide ribosomal RNA is filed under the name uncultured bacterium. Its description in RNAcentral is "bacterial SSU rRNA". It matches the Rfam family "Bacterial small subunit ribosomal RNA", at positions 29 to 428 of the family's 1533-position model. The record is from RNAcentral.